UAUUUGAAUCUAGUAAGAGAUGGUUGGCAUCUCCCCCGACAGGGAUGGGAACAGCCUUCGGGCUUUACCUGUUAACAGACACAUCCGGUUAAGGCUACCCACCUCCGGUGGAUCUUACCCAAUUUGG
This 127-nucleotide non-coding RNA is filed under the name Capsicum annuum. The record is from RNAcentral. Lineage: Eukaryota; Viridiplantae; Streptophyta; Magnoliopsida; Solanales; Solanaceae.